This is a long non-coding RNA of Rosa rugosa (rugosa rose), 740 nucleotides long. RefSeq lists it as uncharacterized. The transcript has 6 exons. Lineage: Eukaryota; Viridiplantae; Streptophyta; Magnoliopsida; Rosales; Rosaceae. The record is from RefSeq and is a predicted model, not a curated record.
UUUCAGGAUCCAGCUAUUGUCGUCUUCAAUAAACCCCCUGGAUUGCCUGUUCAGGGUGGUAUUGGAAUCAAAAGGAGUUUAGAUGAACUGGCUGCCACUUGUUUAAGUUACAGCUUUUCAGAACCCCCUCGUCUGCUCAAAGAGAGAAGAUAAGUGAAGCUAAUCAAGGUAUGCUUGCUCAAUUUCUCUGGUCAAAUUUUUGGGGAUUCGUUUGGAGGUGAUUCCAAAUGCUCAGUUUGAGACUUAUUCGUCAACGUUGCCAUCUCAAUUGGUGAAAUUAAUAGAGGGCUGGAGCUUAUUCAGGAUGUUAUUGCUUGUGGAGGAAAUCUGAAGCAAUUUCUUGUGGCUCCAAACAAGGACAGCAGCUGCAGUGUCAGAAAAUGCCAUAGUUCUGAGUUUUAAAUCGAGGGUUUAAAGCAGAACAGCAGCUACAGUCAUGUUUAUGCCUUCUUUCAUUGCUUGGAUUAUAUAUAAUUGAAAUGAUGAAUAACUGAAUCAAUGUAUCCAAAGAUUGAUUGGAAUACUAUUGCAGUUGAGAUUAUUGAUUUGCUGGGUAUUUGAAAACAGAGAGAUAAAGUCAUUUAUAUGAGAUAUUGAAAGCUUGGAUGAAGUGAAGAAGAGGUUCAAGGAAGAGUAGCUGUUCAGCCUUUAUUGAUAUUGUUCUCAAUGUUGUUCUUGUGUUUUAAUGUAUGAAUGAUUGAGAAAUAUUAUGUUUAUGGUAUAUUUGAUGCUUUAAUGUA